CCUACGGGAGGCAGCAGUGGGGAAUAUUGCACAAUGGGGGAAACCCUGAUGCAGCGACGCCGCGUGAGUGAAGAAGGAAUUCGGUACGUAAAGCUCUAGCAGCGGGGGAGAAAAUGACGGUACCUGAGUAAGAAGCGGCGGCUAACUACGUGCCAGCAGCCGCGGUAAUACGUAGGGGGCGAGCGUUAUCCGGAUUUAGUGGGAGUGAAGGGAGCGUGGACGGUGGGCCAAGUGGGGAGUGAAAUGUCGGAGCUUAACGGCGGAACUGCGUUGGAAACUGGAGAACUAGAGUGCGGGAGGGGGAAGCGGAAUUCUCGGUGUAGCGGUGAAAUGCGUAGAUAUUAGGAGGAACACUGGUGGCGAAGGCGGCUUACUGGACCGUAACUGACGUUGAGGCUCGAAAGCGUGGGGAGCAAACAGGAUUAGAUACCCCUGUAGUC
This 440-nucleotide ribosomal RNA is filed under the name uncultured bacterium. Its description in RNAcentral is "partial 16S ribosomal RNA". It matches the Rfam family "Bacterial small subunit ribosomal RNA", at positions 338 to 795 of the family's 1533-position model. The record is from RNAcentral.